GACGAACGCUGGCGGCGUGCUUAACACAUGCAAGUCGAACGGAAAGGCCCUGCUUUUGUGGGGUGCUCGAGUGGCGAACGGGUGAGUAACACGUGAGUAACCUGCCCUUGACUUUGGGAUAACUUCAGGAAACUGGGGCUAAUACCGGAUAGGAGCUCCUGCUGCAUGGUGGGGGUUGGAAAGUUUCGGCGGUUGGGGAUGGACUCGCGGCUUAUCAGCUUGUUGGUGGGGUAGUGGCUUACCAAGGCUUUGACGGGUAGCCGGCCUGAGAGGGUGACCGGCCACAUUGGGACUGAGAUACGGCCCAGACUCCUACGGGAGGCAGCAGUGGGGAAUAUUGCACAAUGGGCGGAAGCCUGAUGCAGCAACGCCGCGUGCGGGAUGACGGCCUUCGGGUUGUAAACCGCUUUCGCCUGUGACGAAGCGUGAGUGACGGUAAUGGGUAAAGAAGCACCGGCUAACUACGUGCCAGCAGCCGCGGUGAUACGUAGGGUGCGAGCGUUGUCCGGAUUUAUUGGGCGUAAAGGGCUCGUAGGUGGUUGAUCGCGUCGGAAGUGUAAUCUUGGGGCUUAACCCUGAGCGUGCUUUCGAUACGGGUUGACUUGAGGAAGGUAGGGGAGAAUGGAAUUCCUGGUGGAGCGGUGGAAUGCGCAGAUAUCAGGAGGAACACCAGUGGCGAAGGCGGUUCUCUGGGCCUUUCCUGACGCUGAGGAGCGAAAGCGUGGGGAGCGAACAGGCUUAGAUACCCUGGUAGUCCACGCUGUAAACGGUGGGUACUAGGUGUGGGGUCCACUCCACGGGUUCCGUGCCGUAGCUAACGCUUUAAGUACCCCGCCUGGGGAGUACGGCCGCAAGGCUAAAACUCAAAGGAAUUGACGGGGCCCCGCACAAGCGGCGGAGCAUGCGGAUUAAUUCGAUGCAACGCGUAGAACCUUACCUGGGUUUGACAUGGAUCGGGAGCGCUCAGAGAUGGGUGUGCCUCUUUUGGGGUCGGUUCACAGGUGGUGCAUGGCUGUCGUCAGCUCGUGUCGUGAGAUGUUGGGUUAAGUCCCGCAACGAGCGCAACCCUUGUUCACUGUUGCCAGCACGUUAUGGUGGGGACUCAGUGGAGACCGCCGGGGUCAACUCGGAGGAAGGUGGGGAUGACGUCAAGUCAUCAUGCCCCUUAUGUCCAGGGCUUCACGCAUGCUACAAUGGCUGGUACAGAGAGUGGCGAGCCUGUGAGGGUGAGCGAAUCUCGGAAAGCCGGUCUCAGUUCGGAUUGGGGUCUGCAACUCGACCUCAUGAAGUCGGAGUCGCUAGUAAUCGCAGAUCAGCAACACUGCGGUGAAUACGUUCCCGGGGCU
Molecule: ribosomal RNA, 1346 nt
Filed under: uncultured bacterium
Lineage: Bacteria
Description: bacterial SSU rRNA
Rfam family: Bacterial small subunit ribosomal RNA
Source: RNAcentral